GAUGAAGAACCGUAGCGAAAUGCGAUAAGUAAUGUGAAUUGCAGAAUUCAGUGAAUCAUCGAAUCUUUGAACGCACAUUGCGCCCGCCAGCACUCUGGCGGGCAUGCCUGUUCGAGCGUCAUUUCAACCAUCAAGCCCCCAGGGGCUUGUGCUGGGGCCCUGCGGCUGCCCGCAGGCCCUGAAAACCAGUGGCGGGCUCGCUAGUCACACCGAGCGCAGUAGCACAUCUCGCUCAGGGCGUGCGGCGGGCUCCUGCCGUGAAACCCCCCACUGUAACCCCAAAGGUUGACCUCGGAUCAGGUAGGAAUACCCGCUGAACUUAAGCAUAUCAAUAAGCGGAGGA
Molecule: unclassified non-coding RNA, 343 nt
Filed under: soil metagenome
Description: partial contains 5.8S ribosomal RNA, internal transcribed spacer 2, and large subunit ribosomal RNA
Rfam family: 5.8S ribosomal RNA (bases 1-121)
Source: RNAcentral